RNAcentral lists this ribosomal RNA (446 nucleotides) under uncultured bacterium. Its description in RNAcentral is "partial 16S ribosomal RNA". It matches the Rfam family "Bacterial small subunit ribosomal RNA", at positions 330 to 793 of the family's 1533-position model. The record is from RNAcentral.
ACCAGACUCCUACGGGAGGCAGCAGUGGGGAAUAUUGCACAAUGGGGGAAACCCUGAUGCAGCGACGCCGCGUGAAGGAUGAAGUAUUUCGGUAUGUAAACUUCUAUCAGCAGGGAAGAAAAUGACGGUACCUGACUAAGAAGCCCCGGCUAACUACGUGCCAGCAGCCGCGGUAAUACGUAGGGGGCAAGCGUUAUCCGGAUUUACUGGGUGUAAAGGGGGCGCAGACGGCAGCGCAAGCCAGGAGUGAAAGCCCGGGGCCCAACCCCGGGACUGCUCUGGAAACUGCGGCGCUGGAGUACGGGAGGGGCAGGCGGAAUUCCUGGUGUAGCGGUGAAAUGCGUAGAUAUCAGGAGGAACACCGGCGGCGAAGGCGGCCUGCUGGACCGUGACUGACGUUGAGGCUCGAGAGCGUGGGGAGCAAACAGGAUUAGAUACCCCAGUAC